This 252-nucleotide ribosomal RNA is filed under the name uncultured bacterium. RNAcentral describes it as "partial 16S ribosomal RNA". It matches the Rfam family "Bacterial small subunit ribosomal RNA", at positions 524 to 775 of the family's 1533-position model. The record is from RNAcentral.
UACGGAGGGUGCAAACGUUGCUCGGAAUCAUUGGGCGUAAAGCGCACGUAGGCGGUCUGUUAAGUCGGAUGUGAAAGCCCUGGGCUCAACCCAGGAAGUGCAUUCGAAACUAGCAGACUUGAAUAUGGAAGAGGGUCGCGGAAUUCCCGGUGUAGAGGUGAAAUUCGUAGAUAUCGGGAGGAACACCAGUGGCGAAGGCGGCGACCUGGGCCAAUAUUGACGCUGAGGUGCGAAAGCGUGGGGAGCAAACAG